RNAcentral lists this ribosomal RNA (464 nucleotides) under uncultured bacterium. RNAcentral describes it as "partial 16S ribosomal RNA". It matches the Rfam family "Bacterial small subunit ribosomal RNA", at positions 28 to 507 of the family's 1533-position model. The record is from RNAcentral.
GACGAACGCUGGCGGCGUGCUUAACACAUGCAAGUCGAACGGUAAGGCCCCUUCGGGGGUCCACGAGUGGCGAACGGGUGUGUAACACGUGAGCAACCUGCCCUUGACUUUGGGAUACCAGCUGGAAACAGCUGCUAAUACCGGAUAUGACCUCUUCUCUCAUGGGUUGAGGUGGAAAGCUCCGGCGGUCAGGGAUGGGCUCGCGGCCUAUCAGCUUGUUGGUGAGGUAAUGGCUCACCAAGGCUUCGACGGGUAGCCGGCCUGAGAGGGCGACCGGCCACACUGGGACUGAGAUACGGCCCAGACUCCUACGGGAGGCAGCAGUGGGGAAUAUUGCACAAUGGGCGCAAGCCUGAUGCAGCAACGCCGCGUGCGGGAUGACGGCCUUCGGGUUGUAAACCGCUUUCAGUAGGGACGAAGCUAACGUGACGGUACCUACAGAAGAAGGACCGGCUAACUACGUG